CAUUUUUGAAGUUCUGUGUGGCAUUUUAACUGUGAAUGUCACAAUACCUGUUACUGAAAUAAAAUGCACAUAUUUGUAUUCAAUAAAGUCUCACGAGUAAAAUAGCACCCACCAAGUGCAGGUUUUAUAGUGUUUUGGAAAGUUACAGGGUCAAAUUUAGCACAUUACAUAUUUUAGUUAAUACACAUUAAACUUUGCCAGACUGGUUAUGUUGCCUUUGAGACCAUAUGGUAGCCCAGGAAUGAAAAUUACCCUUAUGAUAAUUACCAUUUGCAAAAGUAGACAACCCAAUGCAUUACAAAUGGGUUAUGUCCAGUCUUUUUUAGUAGCCACUUAGUCACAAACACUGGCCAAUGUUAGCAUUCUAAUUUGUGUGUGAAAAAUGCAAAAACACAGAUUUGAACGCUAA
Non-coding RNA from Pelobates cultripes (western spadefoot toad), 409 nucleotides. The record is from the annotation of a GenBank genome assembly. NCBI's taxonomy places the organism in Eukaryota, Metazoa, Chordata, Amphibia, Anura, Pelobatidae.